RNAcentral lists this ribosomal RNA (237 nucleotides) under uncultured bacterium. RNAcentral's name for it is "partial 16S ribosomal RNA". It matches the Rfam family "Bacterial small subunit ribosomal RNA", at positions 532 to 769 of the family's 1533-position model. The record is from RNAcentral.
GGGCAAGCGUUAUCCGGAAUUAUUGGGCGUAAAGAGUGCGUAGGUGGUACCUUAAGCUCAGGAUUUAAGGCAAUGGCUCAACCAGUGUAUGCCUUGCGAACUGGGUUGCUUGAGUGCAGGAGAGGAAAGCGGAAUUCCUAGUGUAGCGGUGAAAUGCGUAGAUAUUAGGAGGAACACCAGUGGCGAAGGCGGCUUUCUGGACUGUUACUGACACUGAGGCACGAAAGCGUGGGUAGC